CGCCAGACUCCUACGGGAGGCAGCAGUGAGGAAUAUUGGUCAAUGGGCGGGAGCCUGAACCAGCCAAGUCGCGUGAGGGAAGACGGUCCUAUGGAUUGUAAACCUCUUUAGGCGGGGAGCAAUGCCGGGCACGUGUGCCCGGAGGGAGAGUACCCGCAGAAUAAGCAUCGGCUAACUACGUGCCAGCAGCCGCGGUAAUACGUAGGGGGCAAGCGUUAUCCGGAUUUACUGGGUGUAAAGGGAGCGUAGGGGGUUAGAUAAGUCUGAUGUGAAAGCCCACAGCUUAACUGUGGGAUUGCAUUGGAAACUAUAGAACUAGAGUGUCGGAGAGGUAAGUGGAACUCCUAGUGUAGCGGUGAAAUGCGUAGAUAUUAGGAGGAACACCAGUGGCGAAGGCGGCUUACUGGACGGUGACUGACGCUGAGGCUCGAAAGCGUGGGGAGCAAACAGGAUUAGAUACCCCUGUAGC
Molecule: ribosomal RNA, 469 nt
Filed under: uncultured bacterium
Lineage: Bacteria
Description: partial 16S ribosomal RNA
Rfam family: Bacterial small subunit ribosomal RNA
Source: RNAcentral